CUUGACACAACCAGAGAUCAAAUUUCAAACUUAUAAAGUUAAACAUCCAAAAGAUGCCAUAUUCGCAUGGCUUAAAUACGUUAACCAAAAUAUCCUUCCACUAUUAGUCUAUUCUAUACAUGCCUUAAACCUUAAUGAUAUACAAACUUUAUCUACUCACAUGAUAACUCGAUAGUGUGAUGAAAUCUCCUCGAUUUCCAACCCAAGAAAUUUC
RNAcentral lists this long non-coding RNA (214 nucleotides) under Gossypium barbadense (sea-island cotton). Its description in RNAcentral is "long non-coding RNA (GBAR_LNC012733)". The record is from RNAcentral. Lineage: Eukaryota; Viridiplantae; Streptophyta; Magnoliopsida; Malvales; Malvaceae.